RNAcentral lists this ribosomal RNA (267 nucleotides) under uncultured bacterium. RNAcentral's name for it is "partial 16S ribosomal RNA". It matches the Rfam family "Bacterial small subunit ribosomal RNA", at positions 524 to 789 of the family's 1533-position model. The record is from RNAcentral.
UACGGAGGGUGCAAGCGUUAUCCGGAUUUACUGGGUUUAAAGGGUGCGCAGGCGGAUAUGUAAGUCAGUGGUGAAAUCUCUAGGCUUAACCUGGAAAUUGCCGUUGAUACUAUAUAUCUUGAAUGUUGUGGAGGUAAGCAGAAUAUGUCAUGUAGCGGUGAAAUGCUUAGAUAUGACAUAGAAUACCUAUUGCGAAGGCAGCUUACUACGCAGAUAUUGACGCUCAUGCACGAAAGCGUGGGGAUCAAACAGGAAUUAGAUUACCCG